This 164-nucleotide ribosomal RNA is filed under the name Trichostema suffrutescens. Its description in RNAcentral is "5.8S ribosomal RNA". It matches the Rfam family "5.8S ribosomal RNA". From Rfam's summary of the family: 5.8S ribosomal RNA (5.8S rRNA) is a component of the large subunit of the eukaryotic ribosome. It is transcribed by RNA polymerase I as part of the 45S precursor that also contains 18S and 28S rRNA. Functionally, it is thought that 5.8S rRNA may be involved in ribosome translocation. The record is from RNAcentral. Lineage: Eukaryota; Viridiplantae; Streptophyta; Magnoliopsida; Lamiales; Lamiaceae.
AAAACGACUCUCGGCAACGGAUAUCUCGGCUCUCGCAUCGAUGAAGAACGCAGCRCAAUGCGAUAAUUGGUGUGAAUUGCAGAAUCCCGUGAACCAUCGAGUCUUUGAACGCAAGUUGCGCCCGAAGCCAUUAGGCCGAGGGCACGUCUGCCUGGGCGUCACGC